RNAcentral lists this small RNA (75 nucleotides) under Xanthomonas dyei pv. laureliae. Its description in RNAcentral is "sX9 sRNA". It matches the Rfam family "Xanthomonas sRNA sX9". RNAcentral also lists the same sequence under 1 other name. Lineage: Bacteria; Pseudomonadati; Pseudomonadota; Gammaproteobacteria; Lysobacterales; Lysobacteraceae. The record is from RNAcentral.
AUGCCACUCGUCCACUCCGGCUCGGAGCGCGCCAUCCACGCCUACCUGACGACCACUCGCUGCUUUUGGCCAGCC